CGAACGGUAACAGGAAGAAGCUUGCUUCUUUGCUGACGAGUGGCGGACGGGUGAGUAAUGUCUGGGAAACUGCCUGAUGGAGGGGGAUAACUACUGGAAACGGUAGCUAAUACCGCAUAACGUCGCAAGACCAAAGAGGGGGACCUUCGGGCCUCUUGCCAUCGGAUGUGCCCAGAUGGGAUUAGCUAGUAGGUGGGGUAACGGCUCACCUAGGCGACGAUCCCUAGCUGGUCUGAGAGGAUGACCAGCCACACUGGAACUGAGACACGGUCCAGACUCCUACGGGAGGCAGCAGUGGGGAAUAUUGCACAAUGGGCGCAAGCCUGAUGCAGCCAUGCCGCGUGUAUGAAGAAGGCCUUCGGGUUGUAAAGUACUUUCAGCGGGGAGGAAGGGAGUAAAGUUAAUACCUUUGCUCAUUGACGUUACCCGCAGAAGAAGCACCGGCUAACUCCGUGCCAGCAGCCGCGGUAAUACGGAGGGUGCAAGCGUUAAUCGGAAUUACUGGGCGUAAAGCGCACGCAGGCGGUUUGUUAAGUCAGAUGUGAAAUCCCCGGGCUCAACCUGGGAACUGCAUCUGAUACUGGCAAGCUUGAGUCUCGUAGAGGGGGGUAGAAUUCCAGGUGUAGCGGUGAAAUGCGUAGAGAUCUGGAGGAUACCGGUGGCGAAGCGGCCCCCUGGACGAAGACUGACGCUCAGGUGCGAAAGCGUGGGGAGCAAACA
Molecule: ribosomal RNA, 720 nt
Filed under: uncultured Pseudomonadota bacterium
Lineage: Bacteria; Pseudomonadati; Pseudomonadota
Description: bacterial SSU rRNA
Rfam family: Bacterial small subunit ribosomal RNA
Source: RNAcentral